Molecule: long non-coding RNA, 505 nt
Organism: Equus quagga
Lineage: Eukaryota; Metazoa; Chordata; Mammalia; Perissodactyla; Equidae
Exons: 3
Source: RefSeq, a predicted model, not a curated record
AACAGAGUCAAGAGUGUCACCCUGCCCCACAAGGCUCUUCCCAAUCUGGACCUCUGCCCACGAUGCUGGCGUCCUACAGACCUCUCAGUUUCACAAGUCCACCACCUCUUCCUGCUCGAGCUGCACCACUGGCCCCUUCAGCUCCUGGGAUUUCAAUGUCACCUGGAUGAAGGACAGAGAUGAGCAUCCAGACUCAACUCAGCACCUGGUGACUGACAACAAAAUCAAUUACUCCGUCACUUCCCCAGUAGGGUGUGGGGGACACUAGCCCGACACGAUGUCUCACCUGCGAAGUCACCCACAGGGGACUGGCAGAGCCCCUCCCAAGUGCUCCAAGUUCUUCCCACCCUGAAGAUCACCAGGCCCGCUGGGACACACGUCCAGGUGCAUCAGAGAGUGAAUCUCACGGGCCACAUGAGCCACUCCUGUCCCCGCUCCCUGCACCUCACCUGGGUGGAGAACAGGCACAAGGUCCAGACCGUGGAGUGUCCCCAGGUCACGAGAA